CUGACGCUGAGGCACGAAAGCGUGGGUAUCGAACAGGAUUAGAUACCCUGGUAGUCCACGCAGUAAACGAUGAUAACUAGUUUUCCGGUCCGAUUGAGGAUUGGGAGACCGAGCGAAAGCGUUAAGUUAUCCACCUGGGGAGUACGCCGGCAACGGUGAAACUCAAAGGAAUUGACGGGGGCCCGCACAAGCGGAGGAACAUGUGGUUUAAUUCGAUGAUACGCGAGGAACCUUACCCGGGCUCAAACGGCGAUGGACGCACCGUGAAAGCGGUGUUCCCUUCGGGGCUGUUGCCGAGGUGCUGCAUGGUUGUCGUCAGCUCGUGCCGUGAGGUGUCGGCUUAAGUGCCAUAACGAGCGCAACCCCCAUCUCCAGUUGCCACCGCGUCAAGGCGGGCACUCUGGAGAGACUGCCGGCGCAAGCUGCGAGGAAGGCGGGGAUGACGUCAAAUCAGCACGGCCCUUACGUCCGGGGCGACACACGUGUUACAAUGGCGGGGCACAGCGGGGCGCCACAUGGCGACAUGGAGCCGAUCCCGAAAACCCGUCUCAGUUCGGAUCGGAGUCUGCAACCCGACUCCGUGAAGCUGGAUUCGCUAGU
Molecule: ribosomal RNA, 600 nt
Filed under: uncultured bacterium
Lineage: Bacteria
Description: bacterial SSU rRNA
Rfam family: Bacterial small subunit ribosomal RNA
Source: RNAcentral